AUGGAUGGAAAACAUUGGUACACGCACAUUGACUUUCAUCGGGUAAAGCUUGAACAAUUCACUAAUGCCUUGAUUCAGAUUCUUUUAACCAUGCCCAAGGUGGUCUCAAUGGGUAAAUCUAGCAGGAGGCCCUUAUGGUAAGUCUCUUUGACUUUCAAUAGUCAAAUGGAAGUAAAGGUCCUGGAUUUACAGAGUACAUGUCCCACCUUAAAUUUUUUUAUUAGUGGUGAAUAGGCUGGUAGGCUAAAGGCAAGAUGUGUUGAUUGAUAGUUCAUCAAUUAAAUUUGAGAAGGUAAAUCAAAGAAUAAAUAAGAUUCAUCUAUUGUAGUAUUUGUUAGUUAUGGAAGUUAACGACUAACAUACUACAACAUUUGUCUUUUUCAUACAAGUUUUAUAUUCGUCUUUUUAGCUAUCUAGGGUGAAACUAUCAAAUUUAGAUAUCAGGUAGGGUUACUCUCACUAGCUUUUAACUACCAAUAUAUUAAAGGUGUGGUAAAAUCGAUAUAGAGGAGCCAAGACAAUGAAGUAUAAUCACACCAGACACUCGACAACAACUCAUGUCACUGGUCCUUUCUUCAUUGGUGUUUUGGAGGUUCUUGAACUUUUUUAUCCGCAUUCAUAUUGGUUAAUUUUUUAGCUGGAAACAAACUGCAGGCUACCUGCCGAUUUGAACUGUUUUGAUUGUCAUUUAAUAUUGAAUUGUUAUUGUUUCAUGUUCAAAAAGGGGCUGCCAUGUUUUACUAAAUUGGCAGUUUAGCUGAAGUUGCGUAUUGAUCCUUUUCUUAAUAACAACUACUAAUCUAAGUUUUAUUUUUUUACUCUAGAAACAGACUGCAAGCUACCUACCUAUUUGAACUGUUUUAACCAUCAUUUAAUAGCGAAUUAUGUGGAUUUCAGGUUCAAAAAGGGGUUGCUGGUUCACAAGUACCAUCCUGUACAACAGAGGAAAAAGUGCUUGAUUCUAGGUCUCAUGUCGAACCACAAGUGUUUAGAGGUCAUGUAAGACUUGAUACUGACUCAUAUACGUUGUCAACCAUGUGAGUACCCUUCUUAAAAUGAUUCCGGGUUAAGACGGCUCCGUGCAAAAGGAGUUCAGUUCAAUUAAAUUAUUAUUAGUUAAGUUCGGGUAAAUAUGGGUUUGGAGCAAAAUAAGUUCGGGUCAAACGGGUGGUUUUGUUGAAAAAACAAACUUUAAAGUUUUGAAACUUCUUUUGAGCACCUAUGUUUAUGUAUUACAUAUGAUGAUUAUUUUGUCGAAAAAAUGGGUUCUGAGAAACAGCUUGAUUAACUUUUUAUCGAAGAAAUGGGGUUUGAUGAGGAAACUUUGGUCAAUUUCAACAUCAGAAAGGAAACUGCAUCAAGUCAGAGUUCUAACGGGUUUUGAAACAAGUAUAUUAUGGUGACAAACAUACGGGUCCCGAGAUAGUGGAAGCAAUGGUUUUGAUACACGAGAGAAUAAUUUUAAGGAACUUUACUUGAUGCAUCGGCGCUGAAAUCUAGCGAUGGUAGUAUCGCCAAGGAGUUUGAUCACGUUUAGUGAAGGAUUUCUUGGAGAAUGAGUCAACUGGGCAGAUACGAGUAUACAACCCAAGAAAUAUAGAGAGAAGGAGAUGCGAGAGUGGCCAGUAACAGGGGUUAAAGCGAUGUCGGAUCAAUCAUCUAGGGUUCUGACCGAGGAGUUCAACCGCUGACGAUUUUCACCCAUCGAAGGUUGGAUCAAAAACUCAUCAGCGUUGAAACUCACUAACAAUGGUCUGAGUAUCCGAGUGCUGUUUUGAGCAACUAUUUUAAGGAAUUAUGCUCGCUGGACGCUCUUAAUGGUCUUAAAAUAAAUUGUCGGGGACACGUGGCAAGCUAUGGUUCAACCGCACCACCAACGCAACACAAUCUUAUAGGUGGUUUACUUUUU
This 1909-nucleotide long non-coding RNA is filed under the name Helianthus annuus (common sunflower). The record is from RNAcentral. Lineage: Eukaryota; Viridiplantae; Streptophyta; Magnoliopsida; Asterales; Asteraceae.